GUACUCCUGAAUUUUUUAUUGAGUUUUACCAUCAGCAGGGUUUCCUUCACUUCUACAUUUUGUUCUUUUCAGUUGAAAAAAAUGUCUUUCUAAAUUUGCAUAUGGCUGCUGAACCUCACCAACAGUAAGCUGUGCCCAUGGUUCUCGAAGAAGAACACUUUGCAUUUAGGUAGCAUUCUCUGGAGCCUGUCAGCUUCAGAUUUGCUUGGAAGUAAUCUGUCAGCACAGCUGAAUGCAAACAUACCAAAGUACGUUUUCGAUCAUCAUAACAGAAAUGUAGUUAUCGAGAUCCAACAGAAGCAAAAUACUCAUGUUGGGAUAGCUUGACUGAAACUAUGUCCAAGAACGGUGAAAUUGAAAAGGUAGAAAACCAGAGAUAAAUGGGUUGCUUAAGGUAGCAAGAAACCUGACUAGCAGUAGCACUUCAGCUGAAACUGAUUCUAGACGGCAAUUAGCAUAUGAAGCAGCCUGUUGGAUCAGCUUCAUUUUCCAUCCUAGAGUGUCCUCCGGUAUUUUAUUUAGUAUGUUCUACAGUGAAAUUAUAGAAUUUGAAAGCCACAUUAAUUAAAUAUAAGCAGAAAAUUAAAUCAUUUCUACUGCUCGUCCCCCUUUCUCCUGGCUUGAUAAAAUGGGACAUAGUAGCGGGACGCACAAAAAAGAACGGUACAUACCGAAUGCUUCAGGAAUGAUGAUAUAUUACUUGUUAAUCUGUUUAGUGCUUCUAAAGGAUGUCUUCCACUUUUCAUGCUACUCAAUGCCAUGUCAACUUCAUUGUCUGCCCUCAUGAUCAGGAAGAACAGAAGAAGCGGAUGCAGAGUUAUUAAACAGGAAAUGUGACAACUUAUGGCAAAGUACAGAAAUUAAAUGAUGAAAACUGGAAAGCAGUCCUGUAGUUAUCAGUUCAGAAGAGAUGUAAUUGCAAUCCGUGCACGAUCCGACAACGGGCUGGAAACCGACAGGAGCUGUUUUAUGUCUGAUUUCUCAAAUGAUGUUGCUUUUCCAGGGAAAAAAGGAAAAUAAAGUUAGGUAUCACAAAUUUUAUUCAUGCAACAGCAGAUUUAUUUGGAGAUAUACCUGGAUUAACCAGUACCAACACCAAAUCGAUGCAAGGAUUACGAGCAGCUACUGCAAGUGCUAUGCAUCCUCCAAAAGAAGUCCCCAAAAGGUAGAUGGGCUUAUUAGGUGAAGUGGCAUGCUCUGCUCUCACAACAUCCUCUACCAUUUCAACAAGUUCUGAAAAUGAAAAACAGCUAAAACCAUGCAAUCUGAGAACUUCACAUUAUCUGUUAUUCGCUCUAAAUAAUGAAAUAAGUUUAAAAAUUCAUGUAUGGAUGGAAAUACUUCAAACAGAAAUUAAUUCACAGAUAUGUUGAUACCUUCAAAUGGCGUGCGGUCGUGGAAGGGAAUGUGCAUACAUCUUAGUUCAAAAAUCCUGUGAAUUCAAAGACAACUUGUCUAGUAUUAUUACGGAAGUCGUAAAAAUUGAACCCAUGUAGUAUCAUUGUAAUCUAAAUUGCCUAUAAUCAACUCCUAUAAAAUUGUGAGCUCUCAUCAUAUUCUAAGAGAAGGCCUGAUAAAAAUUGCAGACAAGUGAAAGUAUCUAGAAGUGAUCUCACCUUCCAAGUGCCUUGUGGUGCAUGAAGAGCCCCAUCCCCAUACCAUCUACCCCUGAAAAGUUUCCAAUCCAAAUCAAAUCAAAUAAAGGCUAAGCUGCAGGACAAAACUAUUGAGGAUUCUACAACACAAACAUUCGGUAUAACUGUACCGGGUAAAUACAGCAUGAGUGGAGCAUCCUCAAUGGGUGAGCCGGCAUCAACGGGACAGAACAAGCGUGGCGGUCCACUGUCAUGUUCUACCAGCUCUCCAAGUGAUCUGUAGUAAUAAUCCAGAUCCUUAGCCUUCUGGUACCCAUCGUCGUAAAGCGUUUCAAGCCCCUUGUAGCUCACUUGCAAUCUCCAGCCUGCAUGCUUGAACUGAUGGCAGCUGCUGAUCCUCUCAAACAAGUCGUGUCGUCGUCGUCGCUGUCGCCACAGAGCUAUCUGGGAGUGGAGAGGAAGAGAAAGAGUAGCCAUUGCUGUGAAGCUACAAAGCUCUCAUUGAGGUAUGUAUGUUCAUGGUCUUUUUUCCAAUACCUCUGAUGGAGUUAUGCAGAGAAGCAUCUGCAGCUGUGUGUAACAGAAAUAACUGAACUGAAUUGAGGCGCAAAGUGUGUGAGUGUGACCAUUGCAUGACAGCUCACAGGUUUGGCUAAAGUAGUGAACGUGUGACUAGAUGAUAAUUGUUGUAUCAUGAACAGUUAUGCUUAGGUUGUUAUAGUAGUAGUUGGCGUUUUCUUGUUCUUUCGUGUGGAAACACACCAACACUUUGAUCACACGAUAACUAUGUUGUUGGUUUUCUUGUUAAAAGUACUCAUAUUUUCUGUUGGCA
Oryza sativa Japonica Group (Japanese rice) is the source of this 2427-nucleotide non-coding RNA. The record is from RefSeq and is a predicted model, not a curated record. Lineage: Eukaryota; Viridiplantae; Streptophyta; Magnoliopsida; Poales; Poaceae.